CUUACCUUCAGAAUCAACUAUAUAUACACAGAAAAUAGUGAGGCUCCACAAACAAUUCAUGACUCGUUACAUCUUUAAUGGGCAAACAUGGCUCACAAAUUACAAUAUAAACGACACACAAUCGUUGAAUUUUCAAUACUUGUCAUUACUACGGAAGCAAUUGAGAAAGUACCACUUUCACAUAAUACUUUACAUAUUGACAGCUACAUCCGUCUUUUUGUCAUCACUUAGAUGUACACUCAUAAACCUAUAAGGUUUACACUAGGCCUGUAUGUUAUUUGCAGGUUAUAAUGUUUGAUAAUCAUAUGCUUAAACAAUGUUCACAUGUACUUUUUCUCGUGUCCGGAAUAAUACAUGAGAGAUGAAAUUUACCUGUAAAAAAGAUCAAGGUUUAAAUAUAUAAUUUAUUCAGAAAACAUGUGAUUCAUACGGUCUUCGUGCGUACACCUUUGCGAUUAUGGCGAAUAUAAGUAGUUUGUUUUAUUGUAUUACAUGCAAUUUAUAACUUUACGAUAUUCCGACGAUGUUUCACAUAGAAAUGUACAAUCUUUCUUGUCAUUUAAAGAAAAUGAAAAAACUGUUUGUUCGAAAAACAUUUAGUGACCCCUCCCCUACAAACAAAAAAAAAAAA
RNAcentral lists this long non-coding RNA (631 nucleotides) under Mytilus galloprovincialis (Mediterranean mussel). Lineage: Eukaryota; Metazoa; Mollusca; Bivalvia; Mytilida; Mytilidae. The record is from RNAcentral.